GACGAACGCUGGCGGCGUGCCUAACACAUGCAAGUCGAACGGAGAAAUUCAGCAAUGGAUUUCUUAGUGGCGAACGGGUGAGUAACGCGUAGACAACCUACCCUUUAGAUGGGGACAACACCGCGAAAGUGGUGCUAAUACCGAAUGUUGCUUGAGAAGCGCAUGCUUCUCAAACUAAAGAUGGCCUCUAUUUAUAAGCUAUCGCUAAAGAAUGGGUCUGCGUCUGAUUAGCUAGUUGGUGAGAUAAAAGCUCACCAAGGCAACGAUCAGUAGCCGGUCUGAGAGGAUGAACGGCCACACUGGGACUGAGACACGGCCCAGACUCCUACGGGAGGCAGCAGUGGGGAAUCUUCCGCAAUGGACGAAAGUCUGACGGAGCAACGCCGCGUGAGUGAUGAAGGUUUUCGGAUCGUAAAACUCUGUUGUUAAGGACGAAUGUAUAGAUUGUGAAUAAUGGUUUAUAAUGACGGUACUUAACGAGGAAGCCACGGCUAACUACGUGCCAGCCGCCGCAGUAA
RNAcentral lists this ribosomal RNA (518 nucleotides) under uncultured bacterium. RNAcentral describes it as "partial 16S ribosomal RNA". It matches the Rfam family "Bacterial small subunit ribosomal RNA", at positions 28 to 523 of the family's 1533-position model. The record is from RNAcentral.